GCCCCAGUGGCGCAAUUGGUUAGCGCAAGGUACUUAUAGUGCCGGGGUUGUGAGUUCGAGCCUCACCUGGGGCA
RNAcentral lists this transfer RNA (74 nucleotides) under Schistocerca americana (American grasshopper). Its description in RNAcentral is "tRNA-Ile". It matches the Rfam family "tRNA". From Rfam's summary of the family: Transfer RNA (tRNA) molecules are approximately 80 nucleotides in length. Lineage: Eukaryota; Metazoa; Arthropoda; Insecta; Orthoptera; Acrididae. The record is from RNAcentral.